RNAcentral lists this long non-coding RNA (728 nucleotides) under Aquilegia coerulea. RNAcentral's name for it is "long non-coding RNA (ACOE_LNC000712)". Lineage: Eukaryota; Viridiplantae; Streptophyta; Magnoliopsida; Ranunculales; Ranunculaceae. The record is from RNAcentral.
UUCCAAUAAAACAACAUUUCCAAAUAAAGUGAAUAGCAACAACUUGAAAUUACAUUCAACAAUAUUUCUAACAAAUAAAUGGCCUCAGACAUUACAUAUAGAAUUCCUAGACACUCCAAAAUAUGCAUGUACUCAGAAUAGCUACGCCUUGGCUGAUAGCAAAUGAGUUGGGUAAAAGUUCCCUCAAAUGCUCGCAAAAUCUAAACCCGUAAACAAGUACCAGAUUUCAAAACAAAGAUUCAUCUACCAUGUACAGAAAAUAUCAUAACUAAAAUACAUCAACAAGAUACAAAAAUGUAAUUGAUACUGCAUUCUCCAUUAUAACCAACAAUCAGCUGGUCCAUUACUUCUUUGGCUGUGAAAUCACAAAAGUAAUGCGAGUGAGCUACACUGAAAAUCAACAUUACAUGAAUUACAUCUACUGUUAUACAGAUAAUCAUUCUGACAUUGAAAACUUUCAAAAUGCACAAAAUGGACCUAGAUGAACAUUUUUGACAUCAUUCAAUUGUACCGAACAAAAUUCAGCAAUGUUCAGCAAAAGUUGAUCCAUGAGAACCGCCAAGCAUAAAUAUUUCUUGAUUGGAUCAAACAAUUCAUGGGUUGUGCUCGCCAAAAAAUGGGACUGUGACAGGGCAGCCUACCUUUUUUGCAAAUAUCAGACUGAGACUGAGUUCUCGUGCAAGACCACAUACUCUCGACUGCAAAACAAAUUAAAGUGGAAUCUGUUC